This is a non-coding RNA of Xyrichtys novacula (pearly razorfish), 388 nucleotides long. The record is from the annotation of a GenBank genome assembly. Lineage: Eukaryota; Metazoa; Chordata; Actinopteri; Labriformes; Labridae.
GUCAAUAGUUAUUAGUUAUUCAUGACAUUUGGUAAUAUAUCGAUAUCUCUGUGUUCUCUUAUGUCUGUGUCGUCAACAUUUGAACAUUUUUGAGCGGUCCGCUCUUUCUGACUGUAAACAAAGCCGUUCUCCACCUCCUCUAACCUGAUUGGUUGUGAGGCAGACGCUGCUCCCCCGUGUCGUUCAGGAGCCCAAACAAAGUUAGCGUGCUACAAUAUCGGACAGUAGAAACCAACCAGAAAGUUCGGAAAAUUGUCUGAAUCCUCCUUUGGCCACGACUGCCGACACAAGCAAGAAAACAAAGUAAAUACCGGCGACUCUGGAGGAAUAACGGGCGCUUAAAACGGAGGUAGACCGGACAAGAGCUAAAAAGCCGGGUCAACAUAAA